GUAGGAGGCAAGCGUUAUCCGGAUUUACUGGGCGUAAAGCGUGUGUAGGCGGUUUGGUCAGUCGGACGUGAAAGCUCCUGGCUCAACUAGGAGAGGCCGUUCGAAACUUCCAAACUUGAGGGCAGUAGAGGGAGGUGGAAUUCCGGGUGUAGCGGUGAAAUGCGUAGAUAUCCGGAGGAACACCAGUGGCGAAGGCGGCCUCCUGGACUGUCCCUGACGCUCAGACACGAAAGCUAGGGGAGCAAACGGGAUUAGACACCCCGGGUAAUCCUAGCUGUAAACGAUGCAGACUUGGUGUUGGGAGUGUAAAAACCUUUCAGUGCCGGAGCUAACGCGUUAAGUCUGCCGCCUGGGGACUACGACCGCAAGGUUA
RNAcentral lists this ribosomal RNA (373 nucleotides) under uncultured organism. RNAcentral's name for it is "partial 16S ribosomal RNA". It matches the Rfam family "Bacterial small subunit ribosomal RNA", at positions 527 to 896 of the family's 1533-position model. The record is from RNAcentral.